GAAACUGCCGGUAAUACCGGAUAAUGUCUCCGGACCAAAGGUGUGAUUCCGUCCGAGGAGCGGUCCGCGUCCUAUUAGCUUGUUGGUGGGGUAAAAGCCUACCAAGGCUCUGAUGGGUACCGGGCGUGAGAGCGUGGCCCGGCUCACUGGGACUGAGACACUGCCCAGACACCUACGGGUGGCUGCAGUCGAGAAUCUUCCGCAAUGGACGCAAGUCUGACGGAGCGACGCCGCGUGCGGGAUGAAGGCCUUCGGGUUGUAAACCGCUGUCAGAGAGGCGGAAAUGCCUAGGGGUUCUCCCCUAGGUUUGACCUAAUCUCAGAGGAAGUACGGGNUAAGUUCGUGCCAGCAGCCGCGGUAACACGAACCGUACGAACGUUAUUCGGAAUCACUGGGCUUAAAGAGUCCGUAAGCGGCUUGGUAAGUCGGGUGUGAAAUCCCUCAGCUCAACUGAGGAACUGCGCCCGAUACUGUCAAGCUUGAGGGAAGAUAAAGAAAGCGGAACUGAUGGUGGA
RNAcentral lists this ribosomal RNA (515 nucleotides) under uncultured bacterium. Its description in RNAcentral is "bacterial SSU rRNA". It matches the Rfam family "Bacterial small subunit ribosomal RNA", at positions 153 to 677 of the family's 1533-position model. The record is from RNAcentral.